Molecule: ribosomal RNA, 254 nt
Filed under: uncultured bacterium
Lineage: Bacteria
Description: partial 16S ribosomal RNA
Rfam family: Bacterial small subunit ribosomal RNA
Source: RNAcentral
UACGGGGGGGGGCAAGCGUUGUUCGGAAUUACUGGGCGUAAAGGGCUCGUAGGCGGCCAACUCAGUCGGACGUGAAAUCCCUCGGCUUAACCGGGGAACUGCGUCCGAUACUGGAUGGCUCGAGUGUGGGAGAGGGAUGCGGAAUUCCAGGUGUAGCGGUGAAAUGCGCAGAUAUCAGGAGGAACACCGGUGGCGAAGGCGGGUCUCUGGGCCGAUACUGACGCUGAGGAGCGAAAGCGUGGGGAGCGAACAGG